AACGCACGAGACCUGCGGACCUGCGGAAGGAUCAUUAAUGAGAAGCUGCCCCUCGUGGGUAGACCUCCCACCCUCUGUGAACUUACCUUUGUUGCUUUGGCAGGCCCGUCCUCUGGACCGCCGGCUUCGGCUGGCCCGUGCCUGCCAGAGGAUUCCAAACCCUGUCCGUCAGUGUUGUCUGAGUCUAUAUGAAAUCGUUAAAACUUUCAACAACGGAUCUCUAGAUCGGAAGAGCACACG
RNAcentral lists this unclassified non-coding RNA (240 nucleotides) under soil metagenome. Its description in RNAcentral is "partial contains 5.8S ribosomal RNA, internal transcribed spacer 2, and large subunit ribosomal RNA". The record is from RNAcentral.